AUUGAACGCUGGCGGCAUGCCUUACACAUGCAAGUCGAACGGCAGCACGGGAGCAAUCCUGGUGGCGAGUGGCGAACGGGUGAGUAAUACAUCGGAACGUGCCCAAUCGUGGGGGAUAACGCAGCGAAAGCUGUGCUAAUACCGCAUACGAUCUACGGAUGAAAGCAGGGGAUCGCAAGACCUUGCGCGAAUGGAGCGGCCGAUGGCAGAUUAGGUAGUUGGUGAGGUAAAGGCUCACCAAGCCGUCGAUCUGUAGCUGGUCUGAGAGGACGACCAGCCACACUGGGACUGAGACACGGCCCAGACUCCUACGGGAGGCAGCAGUGGGGAAUUUUGGACAAUGGGCGAAAGCCUGAUCCAGCCAUGCCGCGUGCAGGAUGAAGGCCUUCGGGUUGUAAACUGCUUUUGUACGGAACGAAACGGCCUUUUCUAAUAAAGAGGGCUAAUGACGGUACCGUAAGAAUAAGCACCGGCUAACUACGUGCCAGCAGCCGCGGUAAUACGCAGGGUGCAAGCGUUAAUCGGAAUUACUGGGCGUAAAGCGUGCGCAGGCGGUUAUGUAAGACAGUUGUGAAAUCCCCGGGCUCAACCUGGGAACUGCAUCUGUGACUGCAUAGCUAGAGUACGGUAGAGGGGGAUGGAAUUCCGCGUGUAGCAGUGAAAUGCGUAGAUAUGCGGAGGAACACCGAUGGCGAAGGCAAUCCCCUGGACCUGUACUGACGCUCAUGCACGAAAGCGUGGGGAGCAAACAGG
RNAcentral lists this ribosomal RNA (753 nucleotides) under uncultured Comamonadaceae bacterium. RNAcentral describes it as "bacterial SSU rRNA". It matches the Rfam family "Bacterial small subunit ribosomal RNA", at positions 28 to 776 of the family's 1533-position model. The record is from RNAcentral. Lineage: Bacteria; Pseudomonadati; Pseudomonadota; Betaproteobacteria; Burkholderiales; Comamonadaceae.